Sander lucioperca (pikeperch) is the source of this 1105-nucleotide long non-coding RNA. RefSeq lists it as uncharacterized. Lineage: Eukaryota; Metazoa; Chordata; Actinopteri; Perciformes; Percidae. The record is from RefSeq and is a predicted model, not a curated record. The transcript is spliced from 2 exons.
UCUUCAUGCAUGCACAGACAUAAAAUGCACACAAACAAAGUGCACACUUAUACAGUAGACUCCUAAAAACACUUGCACACUUAAUGUUUUGAUGGGUUGAUCCGGCAUGCAGGCUGGAGUAGAAUGAUUACAUUGUUAGAUGACAUCAGCAGAUGGAGUUUGGGUGGGCUUCAUUUGGCAGUUAGUGAAUAACCGUUGCAGUACCAUUUCCCCUUUUUGUAAGCAAACCUUUUUUUUAACUGUAUGUGAGUGUUUACAAAAGUAAACCAAAGGUAACGUUCAGUAGAAUGAACAAAAAGCCGGUUUAAUCUAUUAACAUGAUUGCCAAAACUGACAGCUUUACAUAAUAAGACUUGGGCACUAUAUGUACAGUAUGCACAAGAGUCUAUUGUAAUUAAGGAUAGAUGCAUUUACAAACAAGCAUCUAUAUAUUUGUGCACAUACUCUCUGUUGUUUUCUUUUACAUAUAUGUAAGGCAAGUGAAUCUGCUGUAACUUUCCAGGUGCAUAAACUAAAAGAGAACCUGAAAGGGGGGGGGGUUCUUGCUGAGAGGUUUCCAAGAGAUGAUGAUUUAUUUUAAGUACCCACACUUGACAUAUGCAGAUACGUGCAAACUGACAUUAAAACAUGUCCAAGGUUUCAGCAGGGUCUAAAAAGUCUUAAAAUUCCUAAGUAUUAUUUUAAACAGGUCUUAAUUUUCCUACGUCAAUGUAACGCUACCUCUAAUGCUCAUUAAAUGCUCCUGCAGCGCUUUAGAAUUCUGUGGUGUUGUAGUUCUUUUUGUCGCUAGUCCAAAUAUAAUUCGCUGUACUACAAAUGAGACCAACAUGCAACUUGUAUUGCAGCCAAUCUAGACACCAGUCCUAUAAUGCCAAUGAGGAAAUCAGGGGAUUGUUUCAGACAAUGUUUCCGGACUCUGACAUCUGACUUUGUUUUUGAUGCUGUGAUAUAGGUCUUAAAUUUCAUUCAUAAUAAUGGUCUUAAAAAGUCUUAAAUUUGACUUGGUGAAACCUGUAGAAACCCUGAUGUCAUACUGUUCUCUGAGCUGUCAAAUACCUGGUGUGUAAGAGAGAUGUGAGAUAUGGAAUUGAAGACCCAAAGCUGU